GUGUCAGCAGCCGCGGUAAUACGUAGGGUGCGAGCGUUAAUCGGAAUUACUGGGCGUAAAGCGUGCGCAGGCGGUUACUUAAGUCAGGUGUGAAAGCCCUGGGCUUAACCUAGGAAUUGCGCUUGAGACUGGGUAGCUUUGAGUGUGGCAGAGGGAGGUGGAAUUCCACGUGUAGCAGUGAAAUGCGUAGAGAUGUGGAGGAACACCGAUGGCGAAGGCAGCCUCCUGGGCCAGCACUGACGCUCAUGCACGAAAGCGUGGGGAGCAAACAGGAUUAGAUACCCUUGUAGUCC
RNAcentral lists this ribosomal RNA (293 nucleotides) under uncultured bacterium. Its description in RNAcentral is "partial 16S ribosomal RNA". It matches the Rfam family "Bacterial small subunit ribosomal RNA", at positions 505 to 796 of the family's 1533-position model. The record is from RNAcentral.